UGUAAAACGAGUCAGGGACUGUGCCU
Molecule: non-coding RNA, 26 nt
Filed under: Homo sapiens (human)
Lineage: Eukaryota; Metazoa; Chordata; Mammalia; Primates; Hominidae
Source: RNAcentral